UACGUAGGGGGCAAGCGUUGUCCGGAUUUAUUGGGCGUAAAGAGCGUGUAGGCGGCUAGAUAGGUCCGUUGUGAAAACUCGAGGCUCAACCUCGAGACGCCGGUGGAAACCAUCUAGCUAGAGUCCGGAAGAGGAGAGUGGAAUUCCUUGGUGUAGCGGUGAAAUGCGCAGAUAUCAGGAGGAACACCAGUGGCGAAGGCGGUGGUCUGGG
Molecule: ribosomal RNA, 211 nt
Filed under: uncultured bacterium
Lineage: Bacteria
Description: partial 16S ribosomal RNA
Rfam family: Bacterial small subunit ribosomal RNA
Source: RNAcentral